CUGCUGUCCCUGUCCUCCUUGAGCAGCGUUUGUCCUGUGGUCAUACCUUGCCAAACAAAAGCUGCCUUUGCCUUUUACACAGUGGCUUUCCUCUUCCCCGCAGGAACGAGCCCUCAUUGAAAUUCACCAGGGACCAGUGGCUUCUAUAGGAGUUUGUGCAGGCUGAUGGCACUGCCAGCCCUGGCCUGGAAACGGAAAAGAUUUUGUCCAGGAACUGCAAAUACAUCUUUACCAGGGUUCUAGGGUUGCAGGGAGACAGGCUACUUGCUGGGUGUGGAAGAGGAAGGAGAGAGGCAUGGCCCCAGGGAUGGUGGAAAUCUGUGUUCCAAUCCUGCCUGAUCUUUACCAAUAUGCGCUACUGGAAAAGCUGCUUCUCUGAGUCUCCAAGUCCCCAGCCGCAGCAGGACGUGCCCAGCUCUGGAAAUUGGAAUUCAGCUGCAGAUGGGCUCAGCCAAGGGUGCAAGAGGAGGGAGUUCGCUCAGAUCUUUGUAAGGGAAGGAGGGCUGUCCACUGCUCAGGCUUUGAAACCAGCGGGAACUCCUGAAGGUGACGUCUUAGGCUCAGAGACCCUGACACCAGAUGUGCGUGGGUAACAAGCCCUGGUCACAUUCCAGCUGCAGCUUGCCUCUGAAACUCUUCCCAGUGAUUCUGCAAAGUUCCAGGCCUUGACUCUGUUGCAGGAUGAAUGAAUUGUUCAUCUUGCCAGCUCAGAGCAUGCCUGGGCCAAAUUCCUCCCUCGUUUUUUAUGGGGCUAAUACAUCUGCAGUCCCUUUUCGGUGGCUCUGCAGACCGAACGUAUUAUUUCGGAAAACUUUCUGCCCCCCCCCCACCUCCCGGCAAAAAACUUUCAUUCCCUGGUGGAAAUGGUUUAUCAACGUCUUUAAAAAACCACUCAGAUCUUCUUGGCAACCUCUGCUACCAUAAAAGAGUAGCUGUGAGAAUGCAAACGAAGGGGAGGGCAUUAAAAACCCUCUUGCUUCGGCAGCUCAAGUGGAGAAGGGCCGGAUGAUGGAUGGCGCCUGGCUUUCUGCUGAGCGAUUUUGCUCUUUUCACAACUGCCAAUGGCUGAUGUAUUUCAUCUUUUGUUUCCUUUCCUGCCACUUAAGCAGCCACCCUCAGGCUGGGGGUGUGUCCCCGGGCGCCCACUUGUCCCAUCCCCCAGCGGAGGGGUUCAGCCAGCUGUUCCACACUCAACUCCCGGUUUGGGAAGGCUCGGGGUGGCCCAGCUGGACAGGGUCCCCCGGGAGCUCCCAUCCUGUAAUGCUGAGCUCAGCCAGUGAGUCUGCUGAGGAGCAGAAAUCUCCCGGCUCCUUUUCUUCCACUCCACUCCUCAUUUUAAAAAAUAUUUUAUUUUA
Molecule: long non-coding RNA, 1355 nt
Organism: Nannospalax galili (Upper Galilee mountains blind mole rat)
Lineage: Eukaryota; Metazoa; Chordata; Mammalia; Rodentia; Spalacidae
Exons: 2
Source: RefSeq, a predicted model, not a curated record